Molecule: non-coding RNA, 143 nt
Filed under: Bacterioplanes sanyensis
Lineage: Bacteria; Pseudomonadati; Pseudomonadota; Gammaproteobacteria; Oceanospirillales; Oceanospirillaceae
Description: FMN sequence
Rfam family: FMN riboswitch aptamer (RFN element)
About the family: The RFN element is a highly conserved domain that is found frequently in the 5'-untranslated regions of prokaryotic mRNAs that encode for flavin mononucleotide (FMN) biosynthesis and transport proteins. This element is a metabolite-dependent riboswitch that directly binds FMN in the absence of proteins. In Bacillus subtilis, the riboswitch most likely controls gene expression by causing premature transcription termination within the 5' untranslated region of the ribDEAHT operon and precluding access to the ribosome-binding site of ypaA mRNA.
Source: Rfam by way of RNAcentral
CAUUAUUCUCAGGGCGGGGUGGAAGUCCCCACCGGCGGUAUAUCCAUAGGUUGGAUGAGCCCGCGAGCGCUCGUGUAUCGAGGUCAGCAGAUCUGGUGAGAGGCCAGAGCCGACGGUAAUAGUCCGGAUGAGAGAGAAUAGAG